Molecule: unclassified non-coding RNA, 334 nt
Filed under: uncultured fungus
Lineage: Eukaryota; Fungi
Description: sequence contains ITS1
Rfam family: 5.8S ribosomal RNA (bases 1-105)
Source: RNAcentral
AAAAUGCGAUAAGUAAUGUGAAUUGCAGAAUUCAGUGAAUCAUCGAAUCUUUGAACGCACAUUGCGCCCCGUGGCAUUCCGCGGGGCAUGCCUGUUCGAGCGUCGGUCACGACCCCUCCGCCCCCGGUGUGAAAGCGCCGGCGGGCGGGCCUUGGGCGCUGUUCCCCCGGGGCUCCCCGGGGGCGCCCUCAAUGCGUUGGCGGCGGCGACGAGCCCCAGACGUAGCGGAUCGCAAGAUGUCGUCUGUGCGGGUUCGGGCGCGCGCCCGCUUCGAGACCCCCCUCAGUACCAACGUUCUGACCUCGGAUCAGGUAGGGAUACCCGCUGAACUUAA